UCCGAGUUGACCCCGGCAGUCUCCCUAGAGUCCCCACCAUUACGUGCUGGCAACAUAGAACGAGGGUUGCGCUCGUUGCGGGACUUAACCCAACAUCUCACGACACGAGCUGACGACAACCAUGCACCACCUGUAUAGGACGCCGAAGCACACCACAUCUCUGUGGCUUUUCCCUAUAUGUCAAGCCCUGGUAAGGUUCUUCGCGUUGCGUCGAAUUAAGCCACAUGCUCCGCUGCUUGUGCGGGCCCCCGUCAAUUCCUUUGAGUUUUAGCCUUGCGGCCGUACUCCCCAGGCGGGGCACUUAAUGCGUUAGCGCCGGCACGGGAGGAGUCGACACCUCCCACACCUAGUGCCCAUCGUUUACGGCGUGGACUAC
Molecule: unclassified non-coding RNA, 376 nt
Filed under: uncultured Actinomycetes bacterium
Lineage: Bacteria; Bacillati; Actinomycetota; Actinomycetes
Description: uncultured actinobacterium contains 16S-23S intergenic spacer region
Source: RNAcentral